Delphinapterus leucas (beluga whale) is the source of this 414-nucleotide non-coding RNA. The record is from RefSeq and is a predicted model, not a curated record. Lineage: Eukaryota; Metazoa; Chordata; Mammalia; Artiodactyla; Monodontidae.
AUAAAAGCAAUACUCUGUGAAAUGAUUUCUGAACUGUGAAAAUUUGUCUUUCAGACCCAUCAUCCUAGAGCAUUGAGACUGGAUAGAUUGCUUUGUUGGAAGAGCCACCCCAUCUUCGCCAGAGGCCAUUCUAAUCUUCUCUGGGGUCAGUCGACUAUUGAGCUUCAACGGUCCCAACAGCCCUCUCUCCCGUCGUGCUGCACUUACCGCGUCCUGGAUGGCGAAAAACACCGAACACCCCAGGAAUAUCCCAGACUCUCCCAGGCCCUGGAAGGGAAACAAGUCAACUAGAUUAUGACUCUCUCUUUCCCUCUCUGUAUAUAUAUACCUAUGUAUGUGUAUUAUGUAUAUGUGCAUCUAUAGGUACAUAUGUGCAUGUACGGGUACAUAAAAUAUUAAAUAUUACAUGUACAA